Molecule: transfer RNA, 72 nt
Filed under: Ovis aries (sheep)
Lineage: Eukaryota; Metazoa; Chordata; Mammalia; Artiodactyla; Bovidae
Rfam family: tRNA
About the family: Transfer RNA (tRNA) molecules are approximately 80 nucleotides in length. Their secondary structure includes four short double-helical elements and three loops (D, anti-codon, and T loops).
Source: Rfam by way of RNAcentral
UCCCUUGUGGCUUAGAUGGUAAAGCGUCUGCCUAAAAUGCAGAAGACCCGGGUUCGAUCCCUGGGUCAGGAA